RNAcentral lists this transfer RNA (84 nucleotides) under Fasciola hepatica (liver fluke). It matches the Rfam family "tRNA". From Rfam's summary of the family: Transfer RNA (tRNA) molecules are approximately 80 nucleotides in length. Their secondary structure includes four short double-helical elements and three loops (D, anti-codon, and T loops). The record is from Rfam by way of RNAcentral. Lineage: Eukaryota; Metazoa; Platyhelminthes; Trematoda; Plagiorchiida; Fasciolidae.
GGCCUCGUAGCUUAGCUGGUAGAGCACUCGCAGUACUGAAGCGAGGGUGGCAACCACCCGUGUGUUUGAAUCCCGCCGGGGCCA